This is a long non-coding RNA of Anolis carolinensis (green anole), 8948 nucleotides long. RefSeq lists it as uncharacterized. The transcript has 4 exons. The record is from RefSeq and is a predicted model, not a curated record. Lineage: Eukaryota; Metazoa; Chordata; Lepidosauria; Squamata; Anolidae.
UAGUAUGAUUUUACAUAGGAUUUGUGCUACAUUAGAACAGUAAAGACAAAUAUCACUUAAGUAAAAUAAACAUUAAAUAUUAAAUAACAAAAAAAAAAAUAAGGUGUAAACACUAAGAUAAUCUGGGAAUCUGUUAUUGCAACACAUCCAAUUAAGUGGUUUAAAACCAGUAUAAAAAAGAUUAGGACUAAGUCUACUUGGAAUACACAAAGCUCAUUCCAGAAGCGUGUUUAAGAUCUGGUCCAAGAGUCCAGAACAGCCUUGACUCCCAGUGUGACCAUCAUCCCAUUUUCUUUGCUAGUUAACUUGCACCCAGUGUGCUUUAUUAUUAUGCCAAUUGUUUUCCUUAGAUAGUUGAGCAAAUAGUUUUCAUGGUUGCCUCUUGCUAACAUUGGGUAAUAUUUAAAGCCCUCUGCUCCUGUAUGUGUAUCUGCCUUCAAAUUGGUUGUUGACUUAGGAUGACACCAUUAAUUCAAGAGAGUUUCCUUAGGCAAGAAAUGCCCAGAGGUGUUUUGGCCUGUUCCUUUCCCUGAAAUAUAGACCACAGUACCUCUUAUUAACCAUCGGUUCCCUUCCAAGUACUAAUAGGGACUUACCCUGCUUAGCUUUCAACAUCAGACAGGAUCUAGUGCCUAUAUAGUUUCAGCUUCCCCACCCUUUUCUGGUUAAUUUGCAAUUUUAUUUCAAUAUGGUGCUGUUCUGCUUUUGUAUGAUAACAUUUUCUUUUCUUUUUAAAAAUAGUUUUACAAUAUUUUCCAAAAGGAAAAAAAAAGAGACUACCGAGCAUUAUCCUCAACUUUACCUAUAGCCCCACUCUACAUUUGAUGGUGCUAAAUAAAUGAGUAAUAAACUUGCACCUUUUGUGUUUAACAGCCAUUGGUACUGACUCUACAAUAUAUAGGCAUGCUUCAAGGGGAUGUCACAUAAAGUUCCACCAGGCAAAAAAAACCACACGACCUGUUUCUCUUUCCUGAAAAUCCACUUUUUUGUAAUCUCUCCCCACUCCCCACAACAUGGCCGGUUGGUGGAAAAUUUGGCUAAGUAGAUAUAGCCAGAUGUCCAUGAAAGAUGCAUAUUAUCUACCCAGCAAUUGAAUGUGUUAGAGGUCACACUUGUCAGAAAGCUAACAACAUUUUAUUUAUAUUUCUCCCAUCUCCCCAAGGAGACUCAGAGCGGAUUACAUCAUAUAAACAGAUACAGGCAAACAUUCAAUGCCUUGUUACAAUGAAAUACAAUGAGACACAAAUACACAGAGAAAGGCAAAGGCUUCUCCUUUCAUUUCUGGCUCUGGAGGCAGUGCUCAACUGUGGCUCUGGGGGAGAUACUCUUCUCCAUUUCCAAGCCAAGGAGCCUGCAUUGUCCAUAGACACCUCCUGAUCUGUGGAUGAUAUGACUGCUUGGAGCAUCUUUUGGCCUUUUUUCCACUGAAGCGGUACUUGUUUAUCUACUCACAUUUGCAUGCUUUUGAACUGCUAGGUUGACAGGAUCCUUUCUCCCUUCAAAUAGCUCCUUAGACCAGGUACUUAGACCUCAAGGUAAUCUCCAUAGGGAGCAGUGAAUGUGUUUUGUUCAGUUGAUUCAUGGUAGUGUUAUGAAUAACUUUUCAAUAACUAUAAAGCAUAGGUUCUUUUUAUUGCAAUUUCAGCGUGAGAGGUAUAUCAGAACUUUUACAGAACAACAAAGAAAGAAUUAGACAUACAGACAUACAGAUUCACAAACAACCUACAGUUACAUUGGCUAACAAACAAACAAAGGGGGGGGGGGUGUUACAUUUUCAAUCAGCAUUCACACACAACAUGCAUCCAUCUUCAUGCAUACAAAUAUUCCCAUAUCCUUUCUCCCUCCUUGGAGAAGCACUUGCUUAGGCCAGGCCCAGCUUCCACUGCAGCCUGCCAACACAUAGUUCCAAAACGCCAAAACUUCAAAACUCCAAAAUUCAUUUUUUCCCCUAAGAACAAUGCCAAGGAUCAGACCCCUGUUUCCAUACAGCAGAACUGACUCCCUGCAAUGUAAAAUGACUCCAAAAGCACUCUUUCCUCUUCCCUUGAGAAAAGAAGGCCCAGUGAUCAGACUUUUGCCCUGCAAAUCUGCCAUUUUCCCAUACACCAUCUCCACUGAACAUGGCGGGUGAACAGCAUUGCUGUCUGUCACACUUUCUGGAUCAUCACAAGAUCACUUAUAUAGCAAUAUUUUGCUGAUGUUGUCCCAAAGUUAUAAAUGAAUUAUAGAUGUCUUCCAUCCCGGCUCCAUCUCAGUUUCCUGGACCAGAUAUCGACUCUUCUGGAUUACUAGUGUUAGCUUUGUGUUGACUUCCUUCUUAACAGUGGUAAACAUUUCCUUAACUUGAUUUAAACAUUUCUCUUAUCACUGUCACAGUUCUUAUCACAGUUUACCAGGCAAGUCAACUAUUUCAGGUCCCAUUAGCAGGUUUUAAUUACAAUUCAGCAAGCAGGUAGUUUGUCAUUCCAAACCUUAAUAUUUUUUAAUGGUAUCUCCAAAAUUAUUAGGCUUCAUUCAUUCAUCUUCCAUACAGUUCCAUUCAAACCAUAUAUCAUAUUUUUGUCACAGUAAUAAGGGUGACUAUGUUCUCUAUCAAAACAUAUCCAAGCCAGCCAGACCCAGCUGGAAAAAGAAUAAGCAAGUAAAAGUGUAUUAAAACACAAUUAGAUCAUACAUGAACAUUUGAGCUAUAUAAUCCUUCACACUUCUUACAAACCCUCUUCAGUUCUUCGCCAUGGCUGACUGUCCUAUUUCUAUUAACCCUUUUUAUUUAUCUAUGUCAUCAUUUUUCUUCUCUCUCUGCAAUCUUUUCCUUAGUUCUAUGGCAUAUUUUCCUAUUCUCCUUCUAUGAGAAAUAAUCCUCAAUUUUAUAUCCUUUCUUGCUCCUUAAGUCCCCUCACACAGCAUUGCCUGAGCUGCGAUUGGCUGGCACCAAUUUCUGCAGAGGAGCUUCCCCUUGCGUUAACAGUGUAUUUUUCACAAAUACUGACAUGUCUCUCCAAAUAGUGGACAUUGGGUGCAUCUACACACUCAGAUAUAUGAUAUGUAUAUAUUUUAAACUGUUUGAUAUUUAUACUGAUGGGUAUAACGGCUACAAGCUGUAUUAACUGUUUAACUAUGUUUAUUGUUUUAUCCUUAAUUUAUUUUGUUUUAUUUUUGAUUUACAACUUUUUGUUUGAUAUCAUGUAUAUUGUUUUUGUGUUUUGAGCCUCCCCAAGUCCCUUUGGGGAGGGGGGAUAUUAAUAAAGAUGGUGGUGGUGGUGAUGAUGAUGAUGAUGAUGAUGAAUAAAACCCUCCUUCCCAUAAAACUUCUUCUUUUUUUCUAGAUAAAUGUAUAAUCACAUGUUUCUUCUGUAUGCCUUCCAGCAAAUACACUCUUCUCGGAAGUCUCAGUGCCUGUAAUGAGCAGGAUAAAGACGUCAGAGCUAUUUUGGAACUAAUUUUGUCCCUGCCUACUUGACAUUUUAACCAAGGAUUCCACAACACCAAAAUGCCCACAUAACAACCGACAUUGUCACCUCCUCUGUCUUGAAUAGCGGGGUGUUUAGCUGAUGAAAAAGAGGAUUAUCUGAAGUGCUAGAAUUGAAAUCUUAGUUGUGGCAUGCACAUUAACCAAUUAAUUGUGAUGUUUAUAUCAGUUGCAUCUCAUAUGUGCUUCACUGAGUUAUAUCCUUGGCAAUGUUUGCCUCAGUGAGGCUUGAACUUUGCGACAUAUAUCCUCAUUAUCUUGACAUUGUUUGAAGCAUUUUUGAACGGAAAAGGAGAAAAUUCUCAAUACAUUUGAGGGAAAAGUUGAAAAUAUAGUCAGAUCACCACAUUUGCAGGUUUGACUUUUGCAGAUUUGGUUGUUCUUGGAUUUGAUUAAAAUAAUCUAACUAGGAAUCUCUAGCUCCAUUUUGAUUCAAUUGUCAACUUCUUUUGGUGGUUGACCAUAGCAUUGUACUUGAGGUCCUGGAGUUUUAUAGAGAGGUGUUUUCUCAGGUAAAAAAUAGGGCUUUUUAUGAACAGUUUUUCCAGUUUCAUUGUGGUCUUGUAUCCAUAACCCUAGUGAAAGAAGAGGGUCAGUCCCACCAUUAGGCUUAAAGAGGUGUUUAUUUCUGUUGGCUGAUGCAAGGGGAUAUGGAGUGAACAACAGCAGCCUCUCAGCUGCCUAUUUAAUUCCCUUGGUGGUUAGAGCUUUGUGUUCAGAUCUCUCUCUUGUGUGUCUCUAUGCAGGACCAUAGCCAGGAAAAAAAUUGGGGAGGGGGGUUGAAACUUUUUUUUUAGCAAAUCAUGUAGAGUAGUUCCAUAAUGCAAAAUAAUUUAGAAAUCAGACUCCAUCAAUAAACUUCAGUGGACACUCAAAACAGAUAAACUUCAGUGGACACUCAUGAGAAUUUGGUUAAUCAGUUAAAAUUCAUGAGUAAACCAGGUUUUUUUUAAAAUCUGAAAAAUUUCAGGGUGGGGGCUUGAACCCCUCAACCACCCACCCAGCCACAGCCCUGUCUACACAUAAACUACAGUAUCUGCAGAACUGUUAUUCACAGUUUCAUUUAUCCAUGUCUAACAAUAUAUAAUCUCUAGGCAUUUUCUAUCCUCUAGCAUGAUUCUUGAGACAGACUCCUUCAUUUCAAUAGGGUUGAUAAUUAUCUGUGGUUCUGCAUAUCCACACAAAAUCCAGGAAACAUAUCCCCCAUGUAUACAGGGGCUACACUAUAUGGAGUUUGGUCGUGUCCUCAGUUCUGAAGCAAGAUUUCUGACUUCAUCACAAAGGCUUCGCCAGCAGACAGAGGGGGGAGCAGGGUGAAUCUGUUACCCUGCACAGCUCCCUCGCGACGACACAGUCCCCAUCACAUGUGGGAAGCGUCACCCUCCUGGAAAGGAGCCAUCUCAACAUGGACAUAUUCCCAUGUUGGGAGAGAAGCAUCCAAGGAUGCUUUCACUCUGGUUGGGUGAAGGCCUCCGUCAGAAAGCACACAGCAUUGUGUGAUGGCCGGCGUGGGGCUCCAUCCCCAAAACAAGGUAGAAGUGUCCUAGGAUGCUAAAAUUGCCCCAUCUAAUGAGGCCCCUAGCUCGGCUCCUAGUCUGAGCUAGGGGCAUUCAGACAAUGUGACCAGUCUAGCAGAGUUGAUGGCAUAGGAGCAUCGUUUCAAUGCUGGUGGUCUUUGCUUCUUCCAGCAUGCUGACAUUCGUCCGCCUAUCUUCCCAAGAAAUUUGCAAGAUUUUUCUGAGGCAAUGCUCAUAGAAUCUUUCCAGGAGUUAAGUGUGAUGUCUGUAGAAAGUCCAUGUUUUGCAGGCAUAUAGCAGGGUUGGGAGGUCAAUAGCUUUAUAAACAAUCACUUUGGUAUCCCUAUGGAUGUCCUGAUCGUCAAACACUCUCUGCUUCAUUCAGAGAAAUGCUGCACUCGCAGAGCUCAGGCGAUGUUGUAUUUCAGCGUCAAUGUUGACUUUUGUGAGAGGUGGCUGUCAAGGUAGCAGAAAUUGUCAACAUUGUCUAAUGUUACACCAUUAAGCUGUAUUUCUGGCACUGCAGGGGGAUUGGCUGAUGACUUCUGGAAGAGCACUUUGGUUUUCUUGAUGUUCAAUGUGUCUGUUAAUGGAAUGGGAGUUGGAAACCAUCUUGCGCCUCAACCCAAGAAGUGGACCGGCACCGUCUCUUUUUAGCAGGUGUAGGUGUCUUAUUUGUGAAGUUCAGGACAACAUAUGCUCCUGUGGCAGAAACAACAGAAUGAAAUUGCAUAUUCCUUUUGUUGGAAAUCCUCAAAAGGCAGGCUGUGUGAUUACUCUUCCAUGUGUUUAUCCGGUCCUCCUUGUUACGCAUCAGCUCUGCCUGGGUUAUGAAGUUUAAUACAUUAUUAAUUGAGUUUGUGUGGCUCUUUGGCAUGCCAAGCAAGGAACCUAUGCGAUAAGUUGCAACCAAAACACAAAGGCUGAAUCUUUAUGAGAAAACUCUGAACCAUUACAAACUUGCGGGUUCCAUCUGCCAGGAAUUUGCUGCCAGGAAAUAAUAAUUAGACAGACAAUUAAGUUUUAAAACAAGGCCAUGUUUAAAAGAAAGGUAACAUUUUUCUCCUCUUCCUCCUCUCACCUUGUCUCUGAAUUUGAUGUUGAAAUUGAUGGUCCCAUCAUUCCCCUUUCUAUCCAACUUAAGAUUCCUAAAAAUGUUAAAGCCAGUUGAGCUAAAAUUCCAUAUCACGAAAAGAUAAAAAGUUGAAAUAUAAUUGAAUUGUAAACAGAACUGAAAGCAAUUUAAAGGCAUGCAGAUUUUCUAAAACAAGCAAUGCACACAAAGGAUACCCAUGACAGGUGCCACUGUAGACUCUCUAGGAAAGGAUUUUAGGGUCUGGGUAGCCGCCACCAGAAAGGACCUGUCCCAUGUUCCUACCAAUGUAUUUAGCUAUUUUAUAGAUUUGAAUUACAUGCCACUUUUCUUUCAAAAUGGAAGCAAAAUGGAAGCUAUAUAAGUUAAACAGAUAAAUCUGUCAGUGUGGGUGAUUGAUGGGAGAAGCGACCUUCCAUUUAGAUGUCAAGACACAAAAAGGUUUGAGUGCUGGACUACAACUCUGGAGGUCAGGGCUUGAUUUCCCAUUCAACCAUAGAAACCCACUGUGUGACCCAGGUGAGUCACACACAUCCAGCCCCAGAAAUUCCCAUGAUAGGUUCAUUCUAAUGUUGCCAAAUAUGAUGCGAAGGUAGACAACAACAAAGUAGUCUAGCCGCAGCUUUUUGAACCAGAUUAAAUUUUCAAAUUAUUACUAAAAUUACUGUUGCAAAUAUUCACCGAAGAAGGUAAGAUAAGUUACAUUUUAAAAAGCUGAUCAUAUUUUUGGUAAAGGCAGCUAGAGCAAUUAUUACUUUAAAAUAGCUUGAAUAUACUGGGGAAAUGAAUGAAUGAAGUGUGUUGUUUGAGACGUAUGUUCAAAUGUGAGAAUAUAUAUUUUAUCAUUCUGGAUAUCCAAAAGAUCACAGAAAUGUAAUGUACCUCUGACAGGAUUAGUUGUCAAACUCUAUGUUGACAGCUUGCUGUCUGAAUUUCUGUGUGUCAUUGGCAGGGACAGGAUUCAAAUGAAGGCAGCAAUUAUAUUUUUCUAGAGUCUUUGAUACUAAGUCUUAAUAAUGGAAAAGGUCAAGAAUUUUGCUACUUGGUGGAUAAAAACUUCUUUGUUAUUUUAUCUCCUUAUAGAACCGAUAUCACCUUUCAGACUCCUACAUAAGUGAAAAGUAUAUUUCUGUACAAAUGGAAUGAAUAUAUAGUUUACAAUGGUUAGGAAUGGAUUGAAUGGAGUCAUGUUAAGAGUGAAUUGUUUUGUCCUGUGGAAUCAGUAUGUAAAGUAAGGCCUAAUUAAGAAACCGCAUGCUAUAACUGGAAUGAAUGCAGAGCUUUUGGCUUAGUGCACAGUCACUGAUGAGCAGAUUAAUCAAUUUGUUAUGAAAUGCACAUCCAAUAACUAUCUCUUUCCAUGUUCAUUCACUUAUCAGAGUGAUACUCUGGUUUCCCCUUUAUAUACAUGCGUUGUCAAAGAAGAAGAAGGAGAAAGAGGAAAACAAAUCCUGUGUCAAGACGCAACUUGAUAACAUACUGCAAAUCGCUGGAUGUGUUGCCAUCCUGUUGGGAGGCUUCUCUCUUGCCCCUGCAAGCUGGAGCUGACAGACGGGAGCUCAACCUUUCUCGUGGAUUCAAACUGCCAACCUUCAGGUUGUUCCGGUCUGCAAAACUAUUCUCGAAUGCCUGAUUGUUGAAAGGACGUAUUCUUCAAGCCUAGCGGCUGCCUGGAUUUCCUGGCGAAUUUAGUUUCUUCAAAGGAUGGAUGCUCUCUUUCCUCUGCCUGAAGUCACCUCUGUUCCAAGAUGAUUGUACAGUUCUGACAGCUAUUUAGACUUCCUGCUCCCUCCCCUGAUUGGCUGAAAAAGAGACAGAUUGGAUCUGCACUCAGAUUGGCCAAGGACUCUCUUGACAUCACAGCCUGCAGGAGGAGAUUUCCAUGGUGGGAGGAAUGACAGCUGGUGUUUGAUCAAUUCAAAGAAUCAAUCCACUGCAGAAACACCCCCUGAGAGGGCACAGUCCAUGAGAAAAUAAUGGUGCAGAUAUGCUGACAAGUCUCUGAUUAACUCAGUGUUCAUUUCCAUGUGAGACAAAGGGCUGUGGCGCUGUGAUGCCUCAUGGGCCUUGUAGUCCUGUUCCUAGUACUAUUGUGGCAGAUGAAGACGAAAACAUGGGGUUUUCGCCGGUUCAACAAGAGCCGGAGUUUCUUCACCUGCCGGAUGUUGAUGUUUGCCCUCAAGAAUUCAGUAAAACAGGCCUUGGGCAUUACUCCCCUCCGUUUCCCAGGAAGGAAUUUUAUUCUAGAGACAGAGGAGUUAGAGAGGCCCAACGGAGGAGUUCACGGAUCGCUGCCAAACAACAAGCUGAUUAGGACUGCUUCCCUUGGGAAAUUCUAAGGAGUCUUGCAUCUGGACAGAAUUGGGUUUCGCUUCUUGUUCUCUAGGGAAAGAGAUUUGUUGGCGGGAAAACAAGACCCAAUAUAGGUGUUUGGCGCGAGAGAUUCUUUGCGGAGUCAAUUGAUCAGUUUCAGGAGAGAGAUCGUGUGUGGACUUCGUAACCCCAGUUCCUUGCUUCCCGGAUCAAGCUUUCAAGCCUUUGCCUUGCCUUGCUGUGUAACCACGGACCCUGCUCCACGUUUCAUGUUUUGCCUUGUUUCCAGUCACGGACCUAGCCAAGAACCAAGUUUAUUUCCAGCCUUGUUGUCAAGCUUCAUUGGACUCAAAGACUCUGACAUUUCCCCACACUAUUGCUUGGCAAAAGUGUGUGUUUCGGUCAAGUGGAUUAAAACUUUGAACUCUAAUAUCAUUUAUUGGACAAUACAUUUUUGGACUAUAUUUGACCUCAUUUGAAAGGUCUGCUUCUGAACUAUAUUCUUCACUUGUUUUUAUUGCUUUUAUAUAUUUCCUUAAUAAAGUUAUUAGAUAGA